Molecule: long non-coding RNA, 3612 nt
Organism: Centrocercus urophasianus (Greater sage-grouse)
Lineage: Eukaryota; Metazoa; Chordata; Aves; Galliformes; Phasianidae
Exons: 2
Source: RefSeq, a predicted model, not a curated record
AGCUUCAGGACAUCUUCAGCACACCCAGCUUCCCAUUCUUCCUAGGCACAAACGGAUCCACCUUCUGCGUGUGCUGAAAUAGCUGAAGUCAAGCUCAUCUACUGCACCUCUGUUGCCAGCCUGCAGAGUCCAGCCUACUUGUUGGAAAGAAAAAUGGACAACAAAAAUAAAUGAGAAAAAGGCAAUGAUCAUAAUGGUAAGAAUAUUGUAAUAUUUUCAGCUUUGAAGAUGAUUAGGAUAGUAAGACUCAUAAGAAAAAUAACUAGCAUUUAUUUAUAUUAAUUACUGUUUGGUUAGAAUGGAUAUUCAUAUGAAAGUACAUUCAGAAGCUCACUGAGAUAUUGGCUAGCAUUCAGAAAAACUUUGCAUCACCUUAACUCAUUCAAAUUAAGGUGAUUUCAGCUAUUACAAAUACUAAGAGGGCAGACUAUUCCAAUAUUAGGGAAUCUUAUUCUAGAAGUAAAUCCCUAUAAGGCUAUUUUAGGAAUAACUACUUCGUACUUAUAACUUGUGGGAAACAAUUUUUUGAAGUAUUCUUAUGAACUGAUGAUCACUGUUCAGUUGUAGCUCACCUGAAUGAAAAAGAGUUUGGGUUUCCCUGCUAGACUUCUGCACUUGUCACCCCUGAAAAGGCUCGUUAGUACCUUCAGUUCAAGAGGGCCAUCUGUACCAUAGAAGAGUCCUUCGUCGCCAUGGCUUAGCAACACACAAACAAAACUGCUUCGUUUGCUGUGAUCUUCUUCAGAAACUUGAAAGAAAAGGAGAAUCAACUUACUGCACUCCCCAAGAAGCUUUGAACUUUGUGCAAUAGAACUCAUUAAGAACAACUGUUUGCAGACCUAGAAACCUCAAACACUUCACUCCUAAUGAAAGGAGCCAGUGUACUUCACUUCAUAAGGUCGGACAUAGAAAACCCUAAACUUAGGGCCAAUCCUAUGCCUUGUAGAAUGUGGCCACGUGGAAAAAAUGGCUAUGAACAUUGUGAAUGGACAAAGCGAGUUGGGAGCAGUGAUUCAGCACACUAUCUCAGAUUCCAAAUGAUGCACCUCACUUAUAAUGGUCAAUAGGAUCAGGCUGAUGGGAAGUUCUGAGUUUUGGGAAAGGACAGGGAAGUCUUGUUUCUCCUUACAUUUCAACACUGGAUUACAUGGCAACUGCAAUAUGAAAACUGUUGCUGCUAGAUGGACCUAGCUACUAAUGUUACACCUUUCCCUUUGCUCUUGCCUUCUAGAAGCAAGGUCUAGCAAGAUUUUUCAGGCUUCUGAGUUUUGUACUUAAAGACCUUUAAGCAAGACAUAAAGCUUUUCAUCCUGUGGUAUGUAAAGAUAUAGAAAAUAUAUUCUACUAUGUUUUUUGUUGCCUGAAACCAUGGGGAUUGUUCUUGAUGACCAAAAUGAUUCUUUUAAGUGUACAAAAAGAUACAAACAAGGUUUAAAAGAAGGGAUCCAAAAGGAGUUUCGAAUGGAAGUUUCAAGAAAAUGCAAGAGUUCAUAGACAGAAGCUGUAAACUUCUGUUUUACAGCUUGCUGAAUACUGGAUUUCUAUUCUGGAAAAACUGAACUAUUUUUAUUUUUCUCAAGCAAUGCAUGCUCAGGCACUUCUAUAAUCUAUGGACAAGCACUGUGUCUAAAAGAGUCAAGAAAAGCUAGUUUUGGGGAAUCUCUAGUUAGGCCAGAGUUUACACCAUCCAUGUGCAGGCCCUAUGUAUACCACAGGAAAGACAGAAGCCUGGAAUCAGAGAAUGUGACCUUCCACUUUUAGCUACUGUCAACAGACAAGCUGCAAGUUCACGUUGUCUAAGAGUCUUCUCUGGUACAAACAUUAACUGGCACUAAAUAGCCAAAUCCACGCUAGCAAACAUAUACAUCGAAAAAACAGGAUUGCUGCAGACUGAUUUACUGUUGGGAAUACUCUCUGGAACACUUUCACUGCUGAACUGUGACCUGAAACAGUCUGAGAGUGUGCCACAGUUGUACCAGAGAACCUUCUGACAGUUUACCAGAGUAGACUAUUUCAGGGCAAAAAAACACUUCAAGGCACCAUUUAAUUUACUAGUCUAGAUGUAUUAAGUCCAAACAAAACAAGAUCAGCACAAACAGUGGUAUAAAGGGUUUCACUUGUAAGAGAGCUGCUUUGCAUCACAAGCCAAACAAAACGCGAGUUAUUUCUCUAAAAGAGUAAUUCAGUCCACAUACAGAACUACAGUAGUUCUGAUCCCCUGAUAAGGGCACCUCUUGGACCACACUGCCCACACUACCCUUCUACCCAAUUAAGCAGGUUUCUUUCCAGCUCACAGUUUCUGUGAUUCAAAGGUCAGAAAAUAAAUCUUCCUGCAUUUAAAUUUCAGCCUGUUUUUCCAGCCCUCUUUAGAAGAUAAGAAAGGAUUCUGAGACAACGGUCAUGGCACAAAAGAGGGAGAGACAGCAAUGAUGAAUUAACAUAGGAACUACAACAUAUAUGUUCUCUUUAGCAAUAAGGAGUUGUGAAGUACUUUGUAAAAGAACCACGGAAGAAGAGAUUUAAGUACUAGAAGUGAUUUAGAAUCAGUAGACUUAGCACACAUUCUGAUCAUACCUGAACUUACCAUUUUUCAAUAGCUUAAAAAUAUCUCUGCUUGACAGAUCAUUGUUAAGCUUGACUUUAUAUCCCAGCUUCAUGAAAACUUCUCUGACACUUGCAGCAUCUGCAUCUGUGCCUGAACGAGAUGACAGUCCUAGACAUAAAAGACAGGUAUUAUUUUGAUAUGAUAUAAAUGGCACACUCUGAGCCAAAUUAUUUUCUUUCUUAUAUCUGCAUCAGUCUAGAAUAUUAUUCCAUUACUUCAGAUCCACUCUGAGAAAAAAACAUCAUACUAUUCAUGCACACUCCAUCUCCCUGUACCUAUUUCAUGUAUUUAUCUAUUACUUACACCUACCCGUCUAUAUUGAGACAAUUACCUUAUUUAUGUUACAGAAGUCAUGACUAAAAGGCAUGGCAGAUUUGCACACAGCCAAUCAGCUUUUCCUCACCACUACUCCCCCUGUGCAUAUUUAGAAGAAUACCCUGAAAUGAAUCCAAUCCACUCAAACCACUUAAUUUUUCAAUACAGUCAAAACUGGACUGCAUAUUUAAUUCUGAAGAAUAACACAUCAAAUUUAUCUGAAAUACAGAAAAAAAAAGUAAUAAUUGAAAGCAGUACCAGUAUCUCGGUGGAAGUUCUUGUUGUUUAUUAUAACACAUACUCCCAUCUCUGGAUAAUCCAUUCUGUAACUGUCAUCGGGCAGAAUUCCAGAGUCCACAGACUUGCUAGCAGGUAAGUUCAUUCUGUACACAAAUCAGACAAGCUUCAAGUAUUAAUUUCUGUUCUCUCUUCUCUGAUUUCUUAGUAUCUAAAUAAGCAAAUGGCUAUUUAAGAAAACGAGUGAAAGUGGUAAGGUUUGCUACUUGAUUCAUGGAAGUGAUGCCUGUAAAAAUCAGUGGACAGAUCCAAUGUGAGACUAUUGAAAAACGCAUUUGCCCAGAGGUUGGAGUAACCCAUGAAACUGCUUUGUAUGGUUGUGCACCCAAAUAAUAUGAUUGAUUCAAGUUCCAUUAAAUCUAUGCAUACACAAAUAAACAGGUAAAUAAAAGCAA